GUCUGCCAACACACAAACUCAUAUAUUGUAAUCUGAAUGUAAAUUGAUGUAACGCAUCUAUGAACUAAGUUUCAACAACGGAUCUCUUGGCUCUCGCAUCGAUGAAGAACGCAACGAAAUGCGAUAAGUAAUGUGAAUUGCAGAAUUCAGUGAAUCAUCGAAUCUUUGAACGCACCUUGCGCUCCUUGGUAUUCCUUGGAGCAUGCCUGUUAAAGUAUCAUGAAAUUAUCAAAACAAGUCUUUUGUUCAUUCAACUGGCUCUUUGUUUUGGACUUGGAGGUCUUGCAAAUUCACGUCUGCUCCUCUUGAAUGCAUUACCUGGAUCUCAGUGAGCUCGGUUCCACUCGGCGUGAUAAGUAUCACUCGCUGAGGAACCCUCUAAAAAAAGGUGGCCGGUAUUGCAGAUGAACCGCUUCCAAUAGUCUGUUACCUCAGACAGCUUUACUUUAUGAUCUGAUCUCAUAUCAGGUAGGACUACCCGCUGAACUU
This 489-nucleotide ribosomal RNA is filed under the name uncultured Ceratobasidium. Its description in RNAcentral is "eukaryotic LSU rRNA". The stretch from base 67 to 220 matches the Rfam family "5.8S ribosomal RNA". Lineage: Eukaryota; Fungi; Basidiomycota; Agaricomycetes; Cantharellales; Ceratobasidiaceae. The record is from RNAcentral.